CUCUCUCUCUCUCUCUCCACCGUUAGCUUUUUCCUCGGAAACCCUAAGCUAUCUUCACUGUUACAGAGCCGCUCGCUGUGACACCAAAUCGUUCAAAGGUUCUUACUCUCCAAUUCAAGAGCUUCCUAUUCAGCCGCAAAAUCGGAGGUAGUGAAAUUGAAGGCAGUGGCGGCGGAGAUGACAGUUUUUGGUUCUCUGAUUGGCCGCAAGUAUCGUCUCGUGUUGGGUAACGAUCGUGAUGUACUUCAGAUGUCUUCCAUAGAUCCAGGAUCUUCUUCUUCCUCAGCGUUUCCAGAUCAACCUCAUAAUCUCAGUUGGUUGCAGAGUUUACGGGGAUAUUCGGCUCUGAUUGACGUUCCAGUUAAUGCUUCCUUUAGCUAUUGCAGUAGUAGCAUUUUUGUAUCCCUCCAACUAUACUCACUCAAGAUAUUGGUUUUCAUCAAUAGAUUAGAAGAUGUUAAAGAUCAGCUUGAAGAGUUGGAGAAAAGAGUUGAAAUUUCCAAAGGUGGUAAAAUUGUUAACAUAACUUCAUGAGCUCAGAAAUUUCAAGAGGUGUUAGGCUUCGUUUCUUUUGAAUUUUGUAGCCAGGAGAUUUGGAAAAGGUACAGCUUGGUCUCUGCCACAGUUACAGCAGAACAAAAGUGUCUCGUUCCCAGACGCACUUCGCCUCAUCAAUUCCUCUGACUCGUCGAAAUGUGUUGCGUACGCGUAGCAGCAGAAUCAUUGUUUUCGUUCUGUAUUCUUCUCUUGCUAAAGACUGUGAUGAUCAUAUUGGUUGGGCUACCGAAGCGUUUGGUUCGGAGCCUGAAGCUGUUAAUCUUUGGAUUGGUAACCGUUAUUCGGAUACUUCUUUUCAUAAGGAUCACUAUGAGAAUCUCUAUGUGAAGACUAUUUGACUUUUUGGGCCGAGGUUUUGGCUUUUGGAGUUUAAUUCAUUUGGGGUUUUGUGGAUUUUUGAUGCUGUAGGAAACUGGAGAGUUUGAUUUGGAACUUGACAAGCCGACUAGAUGGCCUGAAAACAAUUGAGGGGAGGUGUGCCACUGCCAAAUACAACAGGACAAAUUUUGAGUAGUUAUGUGGAAGAAAGUGAUUUUGAACAAGAAAAUGCUGGAGAAUCAAGUGGUAUUGUUGAUGAUGAAGUAAUAGAGAACAAAGAUAACAAUGAACCACCAAUGGUUCAGGUUCCGCUGCAGCCACUUCCCAUUGAUUUAAUAGGAAAUACAUUGAAGGUUGGAAUGAAGUCAAGGAAAAAUGAAAAACUAGCGUUAACAUGGCAAGUGAUGGAAUACAACCUAGAGUUAUUUGUUAAUAUGGCAAUGUUUCAAACAGAUAGGGAGAGAAAUCGUGAGAUUGAAAUGAUGAAUAAAACUGCUGAGGCGUCCUCUGAUUUAACUUUGUAGCAGAUUUUAUAGUAACUUGUUCUAUAAAUUUGCAUUAUAAUUCAAAAUAUUUUAAAUUAUAAUUUUAUUUUUA
Vicia villosa (hairy vetch) is the source of this 1473-nucleotide RNA transcript. RefSeq lists it as uncharacterized. The transcript has 6 exons. The record is from RefSeq and is a predicted model, not a curated record. Lineage: Eukaryota; Viridiplantae; Streptophyta; Magnoliopsida; Fabales; Fabaceae.